This is a long non-coding RNA of Phacochoerus africanus (Common warthog), 655 nucleotides long. RefSeq lists it as uncharacterized. The transcript has 3 exons. Lineage: Eukaryota; Metazoa; Chordata; Mammalia; Artiodactyla; Suidae. The record is from RefSeq and is a predicted model, not a curated record.
AUGACUUGGUUUGAUGGAAAAUUUCCUUGUCAGCUUGGCCUAAUUGUCCAAACAAAACCACCCAUUACUUGAAGGAAUACAUGUCUACCUUAGACACAUUAAUUAGGGUCAUGGCUGGGCUGCACAAAGGCAUAGAGUAACACUUCAGUUAUCUUUAAAUGUGAUCUUUGGACAGUCUUACUAAUGCUAGACUCAGGUUUAAUGAGAAACUUUUGUUUACACUCACCCUUUGAGGCUCACGGACCUGCUUUGGAAUCUAUGGGGAUGGCUGUGGAUCACAUGUACACACACCAGGGUCUUCUUUGAGGCGUCCAGAGGUCAUCAGCUCUAGUGGUUUGGACAUAAAAAGUCACAACAGUCUGGACCGAAGACUAGGAGAUCAGCAAAAGGUUAACACUUGCCCUCAGGGAUCACACAGUAUAAUAAGCUGCUCCCUCAGUCUGUGGGGAGACGUGGACAAGAGACCAUGACUGUGACGAUGCCAAAAACAGGCAGGGUGGGAAAAGACUUGACAAAGAGCACAGAGAAGGGGAUGGGGAGGCAGAGAAGAGAGGAGAGAAGGAAGAGGAGAGAAGCAUGGACACCACGGGCCACGAACAAUCCUCUUUAAACAUUUACGCUUCGUCGUCCUUUCUCCUUGUGGGCAGGUAAGAGA